GGGCCCUUAGCUCAGUUGGUAGAGCGGCUGACUUUUAAUCAGUAGGUCGCAGGUUCGAACCCUGCAGGGCUCACCA
This 76-nucleotide transfer RNA is filed under the name Halocynthiibacter sp. RNAcentral describes it as "tRNA-Lys". It matches the Rfam family "tRNA". From Rfam's summary of the family: Transfer RNA (tRNA) molecules are approximately 80 nucleotides in length. Their secondary structure includes four short double-helical elements and three loops (D, anti-codon, and T loops). Further hydrogen bonds mediate the characteristic L-shaped molecular structure. tRNAs have two regions of fundamental functional importance: the anti-codon, which is responsible for specific mRNA codon recognition, and the 3' end, to which the tRNAs corresponding amino acid is attached (by aminoacyl-tRNA synthetases). tRNAs cope with the degeneracy of the genetic code in two manners: having more than one tRNA (with a specific anti-codon) for a particular amino acid; and 'wobble' base-pairing, i.e. permitting non-standard base-pairing at the 3rd anti-codon position. RNAcentral also lists the same sequence under 3 other names. The record is from RNAcentral. Lineage: Bacteria; Pseudomonadati; Pseudomonadota; Alphaproteobacteria; Rhodobacterales; Paracoccaceae.